RNAcentral lists this long non-coding RNA (242 nucleotides) under Salvia miltiorrhiza (redroot sage). RNAcentral's name for it is "long non-coding RNA (SMIL_LNC009905)". Lineage: Eukaryota; Viridiplantae; Streptophyta; Magnoliopsida; Lamiales; Lamiaceae. The record is from RNAcentral.
GCCAUCCCUGAUUCGCAGACUCAACCAAGAUUUCUAACAACACAUCGCUUUGUUCUUUAGUCCAUGGUUCAUAGGUUGCCCUAUUUUUCAUAUUUUGUUGUUGAGAAUCUCCCAUGAUAAUAUUACUAGACACAAAAUACAUAUACGUAUAUAGUAUAUAACAAUGAAUAAAAGAAAAAAUAAAGAAAAACAACAAAAACUGGAAUCAACUCACAUAAAAAUACGACACUAACAAUUUAUAA